RNAcentral lists this ribosomal RNA (483 nucleotides) under Lactococcus garvieae. Its description in RNAcentral is "bacterial SSU rRNA". It matches the Rfam family "Bacterial small subunit ribosomal RNA", at positions 740 to 1257 of the family's 1533-position model. Lineage: Bacteria; Bacillati; Bacillota; Bacilli; Lactobacillales; Streptococcaceae. The record is from RNAcentral.
CUGACACUGAGGCUCGAAAGCGUGGGGAGCAAAACGAUGAGUGCUAGCUGUAGGGAGCUAUAAGUUCUCUGUAGCGCAGCUAACGCAUUAAGCACUCCGCCUGGGGAGUACGACCGCAAGGUUGAAACUCAAAGGAAUUGACGGGGGCCCGCACAAGCGGUGGAGCAUGUGGUUUAAUUCGAAGCAACGCGAAGAACCUUACCAGGUCUUGACAUACUCGUGCUAUCCUUAGAGAUAAGGAGUUCCUUCGGGACACGGGAUACAGGUGGUGCAUGGUUGUCGUCAGCUCGUGUCGUGAGAUGUUGGGUUAAGUCCCGCAACGAGCGCAACCCUUAUUACUAGUUGCCAUCAUUAAGUUGGGCACUCUAGUGAGACUGCCGGUGAUAAACCGGAGGAAGGUGGGGAUGACGUCAAAUCAUCAUGCCCCUUAUGACCUGGGCUACACACGUGCUACAAUGGAUGGUACAACGAGUCGCCAACCCG